Molecule: RNA transcript, 5742 nt
Organism: Dreissena polymorpha
Lineage: Eukaryota; Metazoa; Mollusca; Bivalvia; Myida; Dreissenidae
Gene name: cleavage and polyadenylation specificity factor subunit 1-like
Exons: 39
Source: RefSeq, a predicted model, not a curated record
CGAGUUGACUGUAAACCCAUUGACAGGGCACUUCUUUUUUUUAUUUUUACAAAACAUAUAUUUUUUAGAGUAAAAAUGGCGACCUCCAUGAAAAAAUUCGGCGUUUAUUGAAAAUAACUCCACAAUAACAUAGUGAAGGGUGACCAGUGAGAUGUAUGCGAUCUACAAGCAGUUACACCCUCCCACUGGGGUGGAGCAUUGUGUUUACUGCAACUUUCUCAGUGGAAGUGAACAGAAUCUUGUGAUAGCAGCUGUCAACCAGAUACAUGUUUACAGGCUCACACCUGAUACAGAACAGGGGAUUGACAAAGAUGGCAAUGAAGAAGAGAUAAAACAAAAAUUGGAAUGUCUGGCCACCUUUAGCUUGUUUGGAAAUGUGAUGUCGAUGAAGUCUGUACGAUUACCAGGAGCAACCAAAGACGCUCUCCUUUUGGCAUUUGCUGAUGCAAAGUUGUCAGUGGUGGAAUAUGAUCCAGGAAUGCAUGACCUACAGACAACCUCGCUGCAUCAUUUUGAAGAAACCAAAUUCAAGGACUUCAGCGAUCCCACAGGUAUCCCCACAGUACGUGUGGAUCCCGAUGGUCGGUGUGCGGCCAUGCUGAUCUACGGGACCAAGCUGGUGGUGCUGCCUUUUAGGAAGGAUGUGUACAGUGAAGACGUUGAGGGAAUCAUGGAUGGGGACGAGCAGGGAACCAAGACUAGGUAUCCCAUACAGAAUUCGUACAUCAUCGACAUGCGCAGCUUUGAUGAGAAGAUCAUCAAUAUCCUGGAUUUCCAGUUCCUGCAUGGAUACUACGAGCCCACAGUGUUCAUCCUCUAUGAGCCGUACCCCACAUGGGCUGGGCGUGUUGCGGUGCGCUCAGACACCUGUAGCAUCGUUGCCAUAUCGCUGAACAUACCUGAGAAGGUGCACCCCAUCAUCUGGUCUCUGUCUCACCUUCCAUUUGACUGCCUCCAUUGUCAGCCUGUACCCAAACCUAUCGGUGGGGUGCUGGUGUUUGCUGUAAACUCGUUGCUGUACCUGAACCAGAGCGUGCCACCCUACGGUGUCUCCCUCAACAGCAUGUCCUCAACACGCAGUGUCUUUCCCCUGAAGGUUCAGGAUGGUGUACGGAUCACGCUGGACUGUUCACAAUCAACAUUUAUAUCUUCUGACAAGCUGGUAGUCUCGUUGAAAGGCGGAGAACUGUAUGUGCUGACCUUGAUAGUGGACGGAAUGAGAAGUGUGAGAGGCUUCAACUUUGACAAGUCUGCUGCCAGUGUCCUCACUACCUGUAUGUGCCUGUGUGAGGAGGGAUACCUGUUUCUGGGAUCUCGCCUAGGCAACUCUCUGCUUCUCAAAUAUACAGAGAAGGCUCAAACCGUGGAAAAGGAGGCCAAAGAUAAAGACAAACCCACAGAACCACCAACAAAGAAAAAGAAAACUGAAGGGCCAACUGAUAUGGCGUCAGAUGUUUUGCUGGUGGAGAACUUGGAUGAGUUGGAGGUAUAUGGGGCCAGUGAGAACCCAUCGGGCACCACCAUCACCUCAUAUGUGUUUGAGGUGUGUGACAACAUCUGGAACAUUGCUCCCUGUGGCAUGACUGUGAUGGGGGAGCCAGCAUUCCUGUCAGAGGAGUUUAACGGCACAGUUGACCCUGAUCUUGAACUGGUCACCACAUCAGGGUACGGCAAGAAUGGGGCCCUUUCCGUUCUACAGAGGAGUAUCAGGCCGCAGGUGGUGACCACAUUCGAGCUGCCCAGCUGUAUGAACAUGUGGACUGUGAUGGGCCCGCCCCAGGAAGAGGGGCAGAACAAGGAGGGGGAGGAGACAGGGGGACACGCCUUCCUCAUACUGACACGCUCAGACUCCAGUAUGAUCCUGCAGACAGGCCAGGAGAUUCAGGAGCUGGACCACAGUGGGUUCAGCACGCAGACCGCCACUGUGUACGCAGGCAACAUAGGGGACGGGCGAUACAUCGUGCAGGUGUCCUCAGGCGGGGUCAGGCUGAUUGAUGGAGUACAGCAGCUGCAGCACAUCCCUAUUGAGAUGGGCACUCCCAUAGUGCACUGCUCAGUGGCAGACCCCUACAUUCUUAUCACCAGUGAGGAGGGUAUGGUGAUGAUGCUCACCCUCAAACUGGAGGCUUCUGGCGCCAGGCUCGUGCUCAAUAAACCUCUCCUUGCAAGUAAACCUCGUAUUCUGGCGAUAUGCGCAUAUAAGGAUGAGAGUGGGAUGUUUACAACAGCUCCAUUAGAGGUAGAUGAGGAGGAGGCGAGGACGGAUAAGCGAGAAAACAUGAACAUCUCCCUAGAAAAAGUCUUCAACAUGGAAAACAGCACGGUUGAUGAUGAGGAUGAGCUGCUGUAUGGGGAUGGGGAGACGUCCGGGAUGGACACCUCAGUGAACGCCAGCGUACGCAAGGAGAUGAAAACCAGGAAGGGGCCAGUAAAGAAGGAGGUAAAGACGACCUACUGGCUCACCGUGUGCCGGGAGAAUGGUUCCUUGGAAAUCGUGAGUGUUCCCGACUUCAAGAUCUGCUACUACGUGAAGACUUUCCCAAUAGGACAGAAGGUCCUUGUGGACUCACUGCAGCUUGAUGUUAAAGCAUCUAGUUCAAACCAGGCCCAGGACAAGGGGCAGCCUGACAACUUCUCCAACAUCGUGGAGAUACUCAUGGUGGGGCUGGGCCACAGGAAGUCCAGACCCUAUCUGCUGGCCCGUAGUGACGACGGCCUGCUGAUCUAUGAGGCGUUCCAGUACCACCAGAGUAAGUCAGACAACCACCUGAAGCUGAGAUUCAAGAAGAUCCAGCACAACCUGAUCCUCAAGGAGCGCAAGGUCAAGUCCCGCAAGCGUGGCGACGUCGAGAUCGUUGAUGAGUUUGACGAGCUGAAGGACGAACGGGGACAGUGGUUCCGAUACUUCGAAGACAUCUCAGGAUACAGUGGAGUAUUCAUAUGCGGUCCGUACCCCCACUGGCUGUUCAUGACACAAAGGGGCUCAUUAAGGAUCCAUCCAAUGGGGAUUGAUGGGGCCAUUACCUGCUUUGCCCCAUUUCAUAAUGUGAACUGCCCCAAAGGGUUCCUCUACUUCAAUAAGCAGGGUGAGAUGCGUAUAUCAGUGCUGCCUACCCACCUGACAUAUGAUGCACCCUGGCCAAUCAGGAAGGUACCUCUACGAUGCACGCCCCAUUUCCUUGUGUAUCACAUGGACAGCAAGACGUAUGCUGUGGUGAUGCACAAUCCAGACAUCUGCAACAAGCUACCUAAGACCACCUCAGAAGAGCGUGAGUUCGAGGUGUUUGAGAAAGAUGAGAGGUUUGUUUACCCGACUGCACAGAAGUUCCUGUGUCAGCUGUACAGCCCAACAUCAUGGGAGGUUGUACCCAAUACACAGAUAGAAAUGGAGGAGUUCGAACAUGUGACCACACUGAAGUAUGUACCGCUGAAAUCUGAGGAGACGGUGUCUGGCUACAAGGGGUACAUCGCCAUUGGGACCAGCAUCUGUCUGGGCGAAGACAUUCUGGGACGGGGCAGGAUCAUCAUAUUUGACAUCAUAGAAGUAGUCCCAGAGCCUGGCCAGCCCCUAACCAAACAUAAAAUCAAGGUUAUAUAUGACAAGGAACAGAAGGGUCCAGUGUCAGCUCUCACACACUGCAGUGGCUACCUAGUGUCAUCUAUAGGUCAGAAGAUCUUCAUGUGGACACUGAAGGACAAUGACCUGGUGGGUAUAGCGUUCAUUGACACACACAUCUACAUCCAUCAGCUUGUCACCAUCAAGUGCCUCAUCUUCGCAGCAGACGUACAGAAGAGCGUCACCCUCUACAGGUACCAGGAUGCUGAGAGAGUCCUAUCACAGGUGGCUAGGGAUGUAAAACCCAUGGAGAUCUACACUCUUGAUUUCUUUAUUGAUGGAACCCAACUCUCCUUCGUGGUAACAGACAAGUUGAAGAACAUCAUUAUCUACCAGUAUCAGCCAGAAACUCGAGAGAGUCACGGUGGCACGCGACUGGUGCGGCGCGCUGACAUGAACGCAGGCUCACACAUCCACACAAUGUUCCGAGUACGGUGCAAGCUCAGUGACCCGUCCACAGAGAAGAAACUUAGCGGGCCUGUGGAGCGACGUCAUGUCACUUACUUUGCCACUCUAGACGGCAGCAUAGGUUACUUACUACCAAUUCAGGAGAAGGUGUACCGUAGGCUGCUCAUGUUGCAGAACGCUCUCAGCAUACAGAUUCCCCACAAUGCAGGGCUAAACCCAAAAGCCUACAGGGCAGUGCAGACCGACUCCAGUGACCUGGUGAACGCCCACAAGAACAUACUGGAUGGGGAGCUGCUCUGGAAGUUCCUGCACCUGAGUAUCCUGGAGAAGAAUGAGACAGCCAAGCGUAUCGGCACCAGUGUGGACCAGGUAAGCGUAUCGGCACCAGCGUGGACCAGGUAAGCGUAUCGGCACCAGUGUGGACCAGGUAAGCGUAUCGGCCAGGUUAGCGUAUCGGCACCAGCGUGGACCAGCUUGUAGAAGAUCUGAUGGAAACUGACAGACUCACUGCACAUUUUUGAAAGCAUGUGAAGAAUUUCAUGAUAAAGAAUACUGUGAAAACAUUAAAUGUCCUGCUGUGCUGUGCAUGUCCUUAACUAUGGUAACAAAAACAGGUUAUACAGAAGUAGACACUACCGAUGUAUAGAGUAUUUAAAACAGUUUUACAACAACUUUCCUCUGAUAAACAAUGACAGUCAGUGUUGUUCCAGCCCGGCCUGAACAUUUGUACAGUCUGAUCUGGACUCGUAUUCGCCAACCCAUUUGUAGACUUAAGAAUAAAGAAUAGACUUAGAGCCUAGAAAACUAUUUCAGCCUUUGAAUAUAUACAUGAUAACACUUGUGAUUAUGUCAUUUAUAUAAUGUUCUACAUGAAGAAUGAUGUAGAUAGAGGUGGUUAAUGUCAAGUUUGACUCAAAAUAAAUUCUUCUAUAUUCUAAAAUAAAGAAUAUUCUUUAUUCUUAGACUUAAGUCUAAGAAUUGUUUGGUGAGUACUGGCCCAGGAGCUUCCUGGUCUGCCAUUAGGUCAUGCAAGGUUAAUGAGACAAUGAGCGGACAGUACGAAUCCGCAUAAGAGGAUAUGGAUGCAUUUCUGGAGCUAAACUGCUAGGAUGUUUCUUUAGACCCAUUUGUUGCACGAUGUAGCACAUAAGAUAUAAGUACAUAACUUUUCCUUGCCUGCAGGGGCAGUUCUUUCUGCAAAUUCUACAGUACACCUAGAUCUCAUCUGUUUUUUUGUGGUGAUCAUAUGUUAAGCAUUUAGUACACAUAAAUGUGUUGAGAAUCAUUGUUAUGGUAAUUGGUUUUUAAAACUUUAUUGUAAAUGUUAAGUGCAAAAAACCUUUAAAAACAUUUCCUUGGGAAUUGUUAAGUGUACUUUUCAACUUGUUAACAAGAACUAGCGGCUGAAUAUGUCAGUGUUUGUUCAUUGUAAAAGACCAUGUCAUCAUGUAUUGUGAAUAAAUGCGUGUUGAAGAUUACGUAACUUGGUAUGACAUGAUCCACCUCAUGUGAAAAUGGGUCUUAUGCCAGUCUGUGCAAUCGGGUCAGGAGUUACCCUGACCGUUUGUGAGACCAGGAAACCUUGUAUGACUUUAAAGCGAAUUCUGGACCUCACUGCUUAAGUGUGCUGGCUGUCAAGAGCUACAUUGGCCACAUGUGGCAUAAUACCCAUUACAAACAAGGUGGCUUAAAUGUUAAUGAUUAAAAUGUGAAGAACA